RNAcentral lists this ribosomal RNA (402 nucleotides) under uncultured bacterium. RNAcentral's name for it is "partial 16S ribosomal RNA". It matches the Rfam family "Bacterial small subunit ribosomal RNA", at positions 30 to 526 of the family's 1533-position model. The record is from RNAcentral.
AUUGAACGCUGGCGGCAGGCCUAACACAUGCAAGUCGAACGAGUGGCGGACGGGUGAGUAAUGUCUGGGAAACUGCCUGAUGGAGGGGGCUAACUACUGGAAACGGUAGCUAAUACCGCCUACUAUUGAUCGACCGCUGUCGGAUUAGCUUGUUGGGGGGGUAACGGCUCACCAAGGCGACGAUCCGUAGCGGUUUGAGAGGAUGACCAGCCAAAUGGGACUGAGACACGGCCCAGACUCCUACGGGAGGCAGCAGUUGGGAAUUGUGGACAAUGGGGGAAACCCUGAUCCAGCCAUGCCGCGUGUGUGAUGAAGGCCUUCGGGUUGUAAAGCACUUUUGGCAGGAAAGCGGUACCUGCAGAAGAAGCACCGGCUAACUACGUGCCAGCAGCCCGGUAAUUC